CGGUUAAAUCCUUUACGAAGAAAAGUCAACAGAAAUGUCAAGGGUUUGAAGAAACAAAGAAAAUGCAGAGGAAUGCUGAAAUGUUAGAGACAGCAAUGAAAGAUGAGGAGGGACUAGGCGAUGACGGAGAACCAGAGACCACAGGAAUAUCGGUUUCUGAAACGAUAUCACCAGGGAUGUUUGGAUGGUGGGAAGGUAGACAAGAACUGUGCCCGAGUGGGGUGCCACGUUAUUUGGCAUACAUAGUUCAGUUCAGCCCUUCAGGGGAAACAGAAAUGGACUCGGCUCACUCUGAUUUUGAGGCGCCAUGGUAGACACCCUUGCUAAAUAAUAAUGGCCAGAGUCCCCCGUGUGUGGUGGCCCCAGCACAUAUCCAGGGGAAGGAGCGUAGCCUCAGGAGUCUGACAGACCUGGAAUUGAAUCCUGAGUCCCCGCUGUCAUGUCAGCUACCUGCUCUCCAGGCUUACACAAUGCAGUAGCAGGAAAGGUUGACAUUGGGGAGCCCAGGGACUGUCUGGGCUUCCCUUGCACAGGCUUACAGAUCCCCUAGUCUUGACUUGGGCCUCCUCCUCGUGAAAUAAUUACAGAGGGCCAAGUAAGAAUGAAACGGUCGGUGAGAAAAAAAGUAUACUUCAGGGAAGCGAGUACUGCACCGGGAGUCAGGAUACUCGGGCCAUUAACUGUGGUGUUUCCACGGGCAGCAUUAUGUUCUUACUGAGAAGAAUGCAAAUCCUUCAGAGCAGAGGAGACUGUCCCAGUCAUCUAAACAUGAUGGAGCGUCUUAGAAGGAAAAAAGUUAGUUCUUAUUGCUGUCAUGUUUAAUUCCAAAUAUAAAAUAAAGUUGAUAGUUC
Manis pentadactyla (Chinese pangolin) is the source of this 851-nucleotide long non-coding RNA. RefSeq lists it as uncharacterized. Lineage: Eukaryota; Metazoa; Chordata; Mammalia; Pholidota; Manidae. The record is from RefSeq and is a predicted model, not a curated record. The transcript has 3 exons.